UACAGAGGGGGCAAGCGUUGUUCGGAAUUACUGGGCGUAAAGGGCGCGUAGGCGGCCUUCUAAGUCGAACGUGAAAUCCCUGGGCUCAACCCAGGAACUGCGUCCGAUACUGGAAGGCUUGAAUCCGGGAGAGGGAUGCGGAAUUCCAGGUGUAGCGGUGAAAUGCGUAGAUAUCUGGAGGAACACCGGUGGCGAAGGCGGGUCUCUGGGCCGAUACUGACGCUGAGGAGCGAAAGCGUGGGGAGCGAACAGG
Molecule: ribosomal RNA, 253 nt
Filed under: uncultured bacterium
Lineage: Bacteria
Description: partial 16S ribosomal RNA
Rfam family: Bacterial small subunit ribosomal RNA
Source: RNAcentral